CCUACGGGAGGCUGCAGUGGGGAAUAUUGGACAAUGGGGGGAACCCUGAUCCAGCCAUGCCGCGUGUGUGAAGAAGGCCCUCGGGUUGUAAAGCACUUUCAGUGAGGAAGAACGCCUGGUGGUUAAUACCCAUCAGGAAAGACAUCACUCACAGAAGAAGCACCGGCUAACUCCGUGCCAGCAGCCGCGGUAAUACGGAGGGUGCGAGCGUUAAUCGGAAUUACUGGGCGUAAAGCGCGCGUAGGUGGCUUGAUAAGCCGGUUGUGAAAGCCCCGGGCUCAUCCUGGGAACGGCAUCCGGAACUGUCAAGCUAGAGUGCAGGAGAGGAAGGUAGAAUUCCCGGUGUAGCGGUGAAAUGCGUAGAGAUCGGGAGGAAUACCAGUGGCGAAGGCGGCCUUCUGGACUGACACUGACACUGAGGUGCGAAAGCGUGGGUAGCAAACAGGAUUAGAUACCCGGGUAGUC
Molecule: ribosomal RNA, 465 nt
Filed under: Vreelandella stevensii
Lineage: Bacteria; Pseudomonadati; Pseudomonadota; Gammaproteobacteria; Oceanospirillales; Halomonadaceae
Description: partial 16S ribosomal RNA
Rfam family: Bacterial small subunit ribosomal RNA
Source: RNAcentral